Molecule: ribosomal RNA, 439 nt
Filed under: uncultured bacterium
Lineage: Bacteria
Description: partial 16S ribosomal RNA
Rfam family: Bacterial small subunit ribosomal RNA
Source: RNAcentral
CUACGGGCGGCUGCAGUGGGGAAUAUUGCACAAUGGAGGAAACUCUGAUGCAGCAACGCCGCGUGGAGGAUGACACUUUUCGGAGCGUACACUCCUUUUAUAUAGGAAGAUAAUGACGGUACUAUAUGAAUAAGCACCGGCUAACUCCGUGCCAGCAGCCGCGGUAAUACGGAGGGUGCAAGCGUUACUCGGAAUCACUGGGCGUAAAGAGCGUAUAGGCGGGUUAAUAAGUCAGAAGUGAAAUCCUAUGGCUCAACCAUAGAACUGCUUUUGAAACUGUUAACCUAGAAUAUGGGAGAGGUAGAUGGAAUUUCUGGUGUAGGGGUAAUAUCCGUAGAGAUCAGAAGGAAUACCGAUUGCGAAGGCGAUCUACUGGAACAUUAUUGACGCUGAAACGCGAAAGCGUGGGGAGCAAACAGGAUUAGAUACCCGGGUAGUC